CGGCGAGCGAAAGGGAGGAGCCCAGCGCCGAAUCCCCKGCCUGCGGUCGUGGGAAAUGUGGCGUUUAGGAGUGAGCGUGCCGGGUUCGACGGCGGCGGCAAGUCCCCCUGACCGGGGCCUGUCCGUAGCGGGUGCGAGGCCCAUAGCCGCCGCCUUCGUCUCGGAUGCGAUCUCCUUGGAGUCGGGUUGCUUGGGAGUGCAGCCCUAAUCGGGUGGUAAACUCCACCUAAGGCUAAAUACCGCCGUGAGACCGAUAGCAAACAAGUACCGUGAGGGAAAGUUGCAAAGAACUUUGAAGAGAGAGUUCAAGAGUACGUGAAACUGCUCAGAGGUAAACGGGUGGGCCCUCGAAAUCCUGUGGCGAGAGGAUUCAGUCUGGCUGGGCGGACGUGCCUUCGGAAGACCGAGCAGGGCUUCCCGUGAAUCGGGGCCGUCCGGUGGCGUGUCUUCCGCCUUUCCAGACGCAUUUGUCUCUCGUCCGAAGGACGCUGCAGCCGGUCUGGCAGUGCAAGCGCGACGGCCUGAAGGUCGGGAACCGGCAGGUGGCCGGCGGCUCGCCUCGUGCGGGCUGUCGGUUGUUAGCCGUCUCGUCAGUGGCCCGUCGCCAGACCGAGGUGUCGCGAGUCCCGUCUGGGACUCCUCGUCUCCACCCCCGCCGUUGCGGGACAGGACGUGGCAAGGGAACCGUGCAGCGUCCGUCGCACUCUUACGGAGUGGGCGGAAGCGUACGGGACCCCGUUGGCUGCGACGGACCCGUGGGGGACUGGAGGCUGGCAGC
This 778-nucleotide ribosomal RNA is filed under the name Tarne dives. RNAcentral's name for it is "eukaryotic LSU rRNA". It matches the Rfam family "Eukaryotic large subunit ribosomal RNA", at positions 87 to 519 of the family's 3401-position model. Lineage: Eukaryota; Metazoa; Arthropoda; Arachnida; Araneae; Salticidae. The record is from RNAcentral.